Cucurbita moschata (crookneck pumpkin) is the source of this 449-nucleotide long non-coding RNA. RefSeq lists it as uncharacterized. NCBI's taxonomy places the organism in Eukaryota, Viridiplantae, Streptophyta, Magnoliopsida, Cucurbitales, Cucurbitaceae. The transcript has 2 exons. The record is from RefSeq and is a predicted model, not a curated record.
AUAUUUACCCAGAAAUUCCAUUUGGGUAUUUUCCAAACACAAUUUUACAAAUUGGGUCGCCGGCAUCUGAGGCGGAUGAAGUGGGUCGGAUAAUUCUGGGUUGAUUUGGUCUGACACUUUGAUGAACAAGAAGAACAAGAGGAAGAACAAGAGGAAGAACACGUUGAACAAGCACAAGAAACUGAGGAAGCAGCUUUGACGACAGAUUUGGAUGCUUUACUCGGAGGUGCGAGCAGUAAGCCGAGGAAUAAGAAAGCUUUUCAAGACCACAAAAACAACAAGAUCUACCACAAUAAAAAAAAAUUAAAAUAACAGAACUUUUGUUGAACUGAAGGCCUUUAUCCACUUUCCAUUCUACAUUCUUAUUACACUGCAAGCAGGAAAUAUCUUAUUAGAUUAUUUAUCAGUAAAUGGUUCGGUUUAAAUGGAUGCUUCAUUAUUUUCUUGCU